Regulatory RNA element from Coriobacteriaceae bacterium, 33 nucleotides. It matches the Rfam family "L31-Coriobacteria ribosomal protein leader". The record is from Rfam. Lineage: Bacteria; Bacillati; Actinomycetota; Coriobacteriia; Coriobacteriales; Coriobacteriaceae.
GACUUGGUCGGAAACCAAGUCCUCGAAAAGGAG